RNAcentral lists this non-coding RNA (30 nucleotides) under Homo sapiens (human). The record is from RNAcentral. Lineage: Eukaryota; Metazoa; Chordata; Mammalia; Primates; Hominidae.
GAGGUCAGGAGAUCGAGACCGUCCUGGCUA